RNAcentral lists this ribosomal RNA (253 nucleotides) under uncultured bacterium. RNAcentral describes it as "partial 16S ribosomal RNA". It matches the Rfam family "Bacterial small subunit ribosomal RNA", at positions 524 to 776 of the family's 1533-position model. The record is from RNAcentral.
UACGUAGGGUUCAAGCGUUGUCCGGAAUUAUUGGGCGUAAAGAGCUCGUAGGCGGUUUGUUGCGUCGGCUGUGAAAUCCCGAGGCUCAACCUCGGGUCUGCAGUCGAUACGAGCAAACUAGAGUGUUGCAGGGGAGACUGGAAUUCCUGGUGUAGCGGUGAAAUGCGCAGAUAUCAGGAGGAACACCGGUGGCGAAGGCGGGUCUCUGGGCAACAACUGACGCUGAGGAGCGAAAGCGUGGGGAGCGAACAGG